UUUGCUUAAAAUAAAAGGUCCAGCCUGCCCAGUGACACUGUUCAACGGCCGCGGUAUCCUAACCGUGCGAAGGUAGCGUAAUCACUUGUUCUUUAAAUGAGGACUAGUAUGAAAGGCACCACGAGAGUCAUACUGUCUCCUCUUUCCAAUCAGUUAAACUAAUCUCCCCGUGAAGAAGCGAGGAUAACUAUAUAAGACGAGAAGACCCUAUGGAGCUUUAAACGAAUAACACUUGCCCACUCACUCCUAUUAAUUUCAGAAAAAUCUAUUACCUUGGCAUUAUACUUAUAAGUUUUUGAUUGGGGUAAUCACGGAACAAAAAAUAACCUCCGCAAUGAAAGACUCUCCACGACUAAGUCAAGAACCACAACUCUACACAUCAACAAAUUGACACCAAUUGACCCAAUUUUUUGAUCAAUGAAC
This 423-nucleotide ribosomal RNA is filed under the name Adenomera andreae group sp. ABGD cluster 3. RNAcentral's name for it is "partial large subunit ribosomal RNA". It matches the Rfam family "Bacterial large subunit ribosomal RNA", at positions 1835 to 2457 of the family's 2925-position model. Lineage: Eukaryota; Metazoa; Chordata; Amphibia; Anura; Leptodactylidae. The record is from RNAcentral.